RNAcentral lists this long non-coding RNA (382 nucleotides) under Physcomitrium patens. Its description in RNAcentral is "long non-coding RNA (PPAT_LNC005890)". The record is from RNAcentral. Lineage: Eukaryota; Viridiplantae; Streptophyta; Bryopsida; Funariales; Funariaceae.
UAUGAAAUAUAUAACACCAUUAUUUAUUGUAGCCUAAUAAUUAUUACACUCACCAUGCUUGUAAUUUGGAUUAUUAUACCACAUAUAUCUUUCUACAACUUCCUUUGAGCCUUCAAUUAUCUUUGAUGAGCUUGCUAUUUAGGAUUUCUUCAACUUAGUCAUUUCCACCUUCAAAUCUUAUAUGUCCUUGAUAAAUUCUUGAAGAGUAUUAUCAUUGACACUCUUGAUCACUUUUUGAGGUGGCACUUAAUUUAAAAUGUAAACACUAGCUCAAGCCUUGAUAUUAAACUAUAAAUCUUAAUUUUUUAUUGUUUAGCCAAAAGCCCCACUGUCUUUUUUAUUAGCCUCUAAUUAUUGAUAAAACCACUUUCAAAUAUCUUAU